Molecule: ribosomal RNA, 253 nt
Filed under: uncultured bacterium
Lineage: Bacteria
Description: partial 16S ribosomal RNA
Rfam family: Bacterial small subunit ribosomal RNA
Source: RNAcentral
UACAGAGGGGGCAAGCGUUGUUCGGAAUUACUGGGCGUAAAGGGCGCGUAGGCGGCCUUCUAAGUCGAACGUGAAAUCCCCGGGCUCAACCCGGGAACUGCGUCCGAUACUGGGAGGCUUGAAUCCGGGAGAGGGAUGUGGAAUUCCAGGUGUAGCGGUGAAAUGCGCAGAUAUCAGGAAGAACACCAAUGGCGAAGGCAGCUCUCUGGGACGGUACUGACGCUGAGACGCGAAAGCGUGGGGAGCGAACAGG